UACACAUCUCAAUGAAACUCAAGAAAACACCAAUUAAAUAGCAUCAUCAAAAAUGACUAUAUUUUAAAUAUAAACGUAACACAUUUAUUUUUAUUACUAAAAUUAUUUUCACAGUAAAGUUUACCUAACAAAGUAUAUUUGAAACAAUGUCUUGCUGAUGGCCGGACCAACAGUUUUGAUUGGUAUACCAUAAGAUAUAUUUGACAAUAAGAGUGGAUUACCUGAUUUUCUAAAUGCAUUUAUAAGUAAUUUAGGACUAGGAUAUUGCUCGACAAUUGCAAAUGCUUUAUGAACAGACAAACCUCGGAUCUGAAGUAAUUGCCGAAUCAGCAUAUCUCGUACAGUCAUGUUCUAUAAAAUUAAAUAAUAUCAUACUAUUCAUACUAUAGAAAAUUAAAAUUAUUUUGUAUUAUAUUAACAUACUUUGUUUUUUGCAGAACCCGAAGAAAAGGUUUUGAAAGAUAUAAGUUUUACAAUGUUUGAGGAGUUUCCAUAACCAGAAUCUACUUCAUCAAUAUGAGUUAAACACUGAGUCUCGCUGAGGAAAACUCAAUGUCCGAUGGUAUAUCUAUACGGAAAUUGCGAUUAUAUAUAAUUAGAACUACACCUACAAAUUACAAUAGAUUCUUACUAACUACGAACCACAAGGUAUUAAUUAUAAUUUAUAAUAAUAUUAACAAAACUAAUAUGUAUUAAAAUAAUAUUUUUUAUAUCACAUUACGGUUACAACUAAUAUUAAACUUUUUAAAUUAUAAGAAUUAUUUAUUUUUGAGUUGGUACAAUAAUAAUAUUAUAAUAAGUUAUAUUAUACUCAAUCAGAGGAGAGCUGAAUUUAAGAGAACAUCACAAUCGUAUUUAUUGUCAGCUCAACUUUUCUUGUU
Long non-coding RNA from Aphis gossypii (cotton aphid), 881 nucleotides. RefSeq lists it as uncharacterized. The record is from RefSeq and is a predicted model, not a curated record. Lineage: Eukaryota; Metazoa; Arthropoda; Insecta; Hemiptera; Aphididae. The transcript is spliced from 3 exons.